Molecule: ribosomal RNA, 495 nt
Filed under: uncultured bacterium
Lineage: Bacteria
Description: partial 16S ribosomal RNA
Rfam family: Bacterial small subunit ribosomal RNA
Source: RNAcentral
GAUGAACGCUGGCGGCGUGCCUAAUACAUGCAAGUAGAACGCUGAAGGAGGAGCUUGCUCUUCUGGAUGAGUUGCGAACGGGUGAGUAACGCGUAGGUAACCUGCCUGGUAGCGGGGGAUAACUAUUGGAAACGAUAGCUAAUACCGCAUGACAACAGUUAUUGCAUGAUAACUGUUUAAAAGGGGCAACUGCUCCACUACCAGAUGGACCUGCGUUGUAUUAGCUAGUUGGUGAGGUAACGGCUCACCAAGGCGACGAUACAUAGCCGACCUGAGAGGGUGAUCGGCCACACUGGGACUGAGACACGGCCCAGACUCCUACGGGAGGCAGCAGUAGGGAAUCUUCGGCAAUGGACGGAAGUCUGACCGAGCAACGCCGCGUGAGUGAAGAAGGGUUUCGGAUCGUAAAGCUCUGUUGUAAGAGAAGAACGAGUGUGAGGGUGGAAAGUUCACACUGUGACGGUAUCUUACCAGAAAGGGACGGCUAACUACGUG